UUGAACGCUGGCGGCAUGCCUUACACAUGCAAGUCGAACGGUAGAGGGGCAACCCUUGAGAGUGGCGAACGGGUGAGUAAUAUAUCGGAACGUGCCCAGUCGUGGGGGAUAACGCAGCGAAAGCUGCGCUAAUACCGCAUACGAUCUAUGGAUGAAAGCGGGGGAUCGCAAGACCUCACGCGAUUGGAGCGGCCGAUAUCAGAUUAGGUAGUUGGUGGGGUAAAAGCCCACCAAGCCGACGAUCUGUAGCUG
This 252-nucleotide ribosomal RNA is filed under the name uncultured bacterium. Its description in RNAcentral is "partial 16S ribosomal RNA". It matches the Rfam family "Bacterial small subunit ribosomal RNA", at positions 30 to 289 of the family's 1533-position model. The record is from RNAcentral.